AAAACCAACAGUCUAAUCUUUAUAAAAAGCGAGAAAUACGUAUAAAUUACAUAAACAAACAACAACUAAUGUACAUCAGAUUCCUGACUUAGGACAGGUGCAAACAUUUGCAGCGGGACUAAACGUUUUAGUUUGUUCUCCCUUUUUCUGAAACAAUAGCAUAACAUCACAACAUAGAAAAACACACGAUAAAAUAUCAAUUGGCAGGCUUAACUCAAUCAAAAAACGUAAAUUAACACAUUAUGAACGAUUAAAUUUGAUCUGCGAUAUCUGAAUGCAAAUGCACAGUUAAUAAAAUAUUAGGGGCAAACAUUUAAGGCCAAAAAGCA
Molecule: long non-coding RNA, 329 nt
Filed under: Mytilus galloprovincialis (Mediterranean mussel)
Lineage: Eukaryota; Metazoa; Mollusca; Bivalvia; Mytilida; Mytilidae
Source: RNAcentral